Engraulis encrasicolus (European anchovy) is the source of this 279-nucleotide long non-coding RNA. RefSeq lists it as uncharacterized. The record is from RefSeq and is a predicted model, not a curated record. The transcript is spliced from 3 exons. Lineage: Eukaryota; Metazoa; Chordata; Actinopteri; Clupeiformes; Engraulidae.
GAGCAGGAGGAAUCAGGAGGAGACCAGACAUGUGGAGAAAAGAGCAAACUUCGUUGGAAUCCUGCUGUGUGAUUGUCCUAAACGGAUGCUUCAAGCUUUGCUGAGCCAUAACGACAUCUUGGAGAAGGUACUGCAUCCAGAGACCUCACCUGAAGGCUACCACUCAUUCAGAGAUGACACUUGUUUCAAAGGUUGUCUCAGAGUUCAACAGAGUGGCAACUUAAAGACUUUUUUGACGUCCUGGAUCGUCACACUGCCCGUUUUGUCGAACUCUUCAAA